This 260-nucleotide ribosomal RNA is filed under the name uncultured bacterium. RNAcentral's name for it is "partial 16S ribosomal RNA". It matches the Rfam family "Bacterial small subunit ribosomal RNA", at positions 94 to 354 of the family's 1533-position model. The record is from RNAcentral.
AGCGGCGGACGGGUGAGUAACGCGUGGGUAACCUGCCCUGUACACACGGAUAACAUACCGAAAGAUAUGCUAAUACGAGAUAAAAUACUUUUAUCGCAUGGUAGAAGUAUCAAAGCUUUUGCGGUACAGGAUGGACCCGCGUCUGAUUAGCUAGUUGGUAAGGUAACGGCUUACCAAGGCGACGAUCAGUAGCCGACCUGAGAGGGUGAUCGGCCACAUUGGAACUGAGACACGGUCCAAACUCCUACGGAAGGCAGCAG